CCAGCGCUGAAUUCCGUGGCCACUGGCCAUUGGGACCUGUAGCGUAUAGGUGCAGCUAUUCGGCAGUGCCGCUCACCCAAAGUCCCCUUGAGUGGGGCUACAGUCCAUAGAAGGUGCUAGACCUGUACGGGUGGUGGUGCUGUUGAUCUGGUUGCUCCUUGGAGUCGAGUUGCCUGGGAUCGCAGCUCAAAGUAGGUGGUAAACCUCAUCUAAGGCUAAAUACGGCCACGAGACCGAUAGCAAACAAGUACCGUGAGGGAAAGUUGCAAAGAACUUUGAAGAGAGAGUUCAAGAGGGCGUGAAACCGCUGAGAAGGAAACGGAUAGAGUUGACGAAACUCGGUGGCAUUCAACUGGUGCCUGGCUCUGGCUUCUGCUCGAUCGAUAACACCUCUUCACUGGGGUGCGGUUGUUGGCGGUCGCUGAAGGGUCGCGUCCUGUGUAUUUGCCAUCGGUAUGCGCCGAGAGGUUCGCUAUGGUGCGUUGACACUGCGCAAAGAGGACCGUGCCCGUCUGGGUGCGGAAACCUUUGCGGUUGGUUGAGGCGUAUCCGCGGUGAAUUUCUGCUGGUUUGCAUUGCCCCGCUGGUGCGCAACGGUUGCUGCGUGGCUGAUGUGGCUGUUGAGCGGUCGCGUGCGACUUGCUUAUAGUCGACUGUUGGCUCGUUGGCGAUGCGGUUGCGUUGGGCUUGGUGCAUCUCGGUGUGAAAGUCGACCACCUAUCCGACCCGUCUUGAAACACGGACCAAGGAGUCUAGCAUAUGCGCGAGUCAUUGGGUGGUAAACCUAAAGGCGCAAUGAAAGUAAAGAUCGCUUUAGUGCGGUUGAUAUGGGAUCCGCAGAGUUUCGGCUCUGUGGCGCACCAUAGCCCCGUCCCCGUUGCUUGCAAUAGGGCGGAGGUAGAGCGCAUACGCUGGGACCCGAAAGAUGGUGAACUAUGCCUGAGCAGGAUGAAGCCAGAGGAAACUCUGGUGGAGGUCCGAAGCGGUUCUGACGUGCAAA
RNAcentral lists this ribosomal RNA (1000 nucleotides) under Severianoia pachyiuli. RNAcentral describes it as "partial large subunit ribosomal RNA". It matches the Rfam family "Eukaryotic large subunit ribosomal RNA", at positions 109 to 897 of the family's 3401-position model. The record is from RNAcentral. Lineage: Eukaryota; Metazoa; Nematoda; Chromadorea; Rhabditida; Thelastomatidae.